Molecule: ribosomal RNA, 372 nt
Filed under: Triticum aestivum (bread wheat)
Lineage: Eukaryota; Viridiplantae; Streptophyta; Magnoliopsida; Poales; Poaceae
Description: partial small subunit ribosomal RNA
Source: RNAcentral
AUGUUGCUAUCAACUGGUGAUGUUUAUCAUAUAUACUCUUACAAUCCAUUUCUUUUCUCUUCUGCUUUCUUGCCUACUAUAACAGCAAAGAUGAUCUGUGUUGAGGACGAGUGUCUAGCUGUAGUAGAUAUCUCUUCUCCGUUCCAUUCUUCGGUUCUUCGCUCAUCUCGAUCGACCCCCGCUACAUGCUGGCCUGUACUGCCUUACGCUCAGCGGCUCAGGAGGUGUUGCUCGUUUGCACUUGUUGCUGGUGAUGAUACGCCCAUCCAUUUCCACUUAUCUGCUGGACAUACAGAUCCUUUACCUGGAGUGAACAAACGUCCUUACAUCUUCUGCCGCCAAGGAAUCAUCUCGAGUGAAUCUGAAGCUUGA